This 253-nucleotide unclassified non-coding RNA is filed under the name uncultured bacterium. Its description in RNAcentral is "contains 16S-23S intergenic spacer region". It matches the Rfam family "Bacterial small subunit ribosomal RNA", at positions 524 to 776 of the family's 1533-position model. The record is from RNAcentral.
UACGAGGGGUGCGAGCGUUAUUCGGAAUCAUUGGGCGUAAAGGGUGCGUAGACGGCGUACUAAGUUGGUUGUUAAAUCUCUCGGCUUAACCGAGAGUUCGCGAUCAAAACUGGUAUGCUAGAGGAUGGAAGAGAGAAGUGGAAUUCUCGGAGUAGCGGUAAAAUGCGUAGAUAUCGAGAGGAACACCGAUGGCGAAGGCAGCUUCUUGGUCCAUUCCUGACGUUGAGGCACGAAAGCGUGGGGAGCAAACAGG